CCUACGGGAGGCAGCAGUAAGGAAUAUUGGUCAAUGGAGGCAACUCUGAACCAGCCAUGCCGCGUGCAGGAAGAAGGCCCUAUGGGUCGUAAACUGCUUUUGUACCAGAGAAAACCCGAGUACGUGUACUCGGUUGAUAGUAUGGUAAGAAUAAGCAUCGGCUAACUUCGUGCCAGCAGCCGCGGUAAGACGAAGGAUGCAAGCGUUAUCCGGAUUCAUUGGGUUUAAAGGGUGCGUAGGCGGACUGAUAAGUCAGUGGUGAAAUCUCUCGGCUUAACCGAGAAACUGCCAUUGAUACUGUUAGUCUAGAGUAUAGAUGACGUUGGCGGAAUAUGACAUGUAGUGGUGAAAUACUUAGAUAUGUCAUAGAACACCGAUUGCGAAGGCAGCUAACGAAACUAUAACUGACGCUGAGGCACGAAAGUNCGGGGGAUCAAACAGGAUUAGAUACCCUGGUAGUCCGCACCGUAAACGAUGAUUACUCGUUGUUGGCAAAUUAUAGACCGUCAGCGACCGACGACGAACGACGAGUAAGUAAUACCUACCGUACGGGUAGGUACGGACCGGACCGACGGACGAACGACGAAAGAAAGUUAGACGGACGAGAGACGUAGACGACGGACGACGACGAGGGAGGAGG
RNAcentral lists this ribosomal RNA (640 nucleotides) under uncultured bacterium. RNAcentral's name for it is "bacterial SSU rRNA". The stretch from base 1 to 546 matches the Rfam family "Bacterial small subunit ribosomal RNA", at positions 338 to 873 of the family's 1533-position model. The record is from RNAcentral.